Gymnothorax javanicus (giant moray) is the source of this 78-nucleotide non-coding RNA. The record is from the annotation of a GenBank genome assembly. Lineage: Eukaryota; Metazoa; Chordata; Actinopteri; Anguilliformes; Muraenidae.
UGGUUAGUACAGUGAUGUAGUGGUUAGCACUGUUGCCUUGCAAUAAGAAGGUUCCAGGUUCAAGCCCUGGCCAGCCAG